UACGGAGGGUGCAAGCGUUAAUCGGAAUGACUGGGCGUAAAGGGUGCGUAGGUGGGGAUAUAAGUCAUAGGUAAAAUCACUGGGCUCAACCUGGUGUGGAAUUGUGAUACUGUAUUUCUAGAGUAUAGGAGAGGGUAGUGGAAUUUCCGGUGUAGCGGUGAAAUGCGUAGAGAUCGGAAGGAACACCGGUGGCGAAGGCGGCUACCUGGCCAUAUACUGACACUGAGUCACGAAAGCGUGGGGAGCAAACAGGAUUAGAUACCCUGGUAGUCCACGCUGUAAACGAUGUCAACUAGCCGUAUUUCAUAUAGAGAUGGGGUGUGGCGCAGCAAACGCGAUAAGUUGACCGCCUGGGGAGUACGGUCGCAAGAUUAAA
RNAcentral lists this ribosomal RNA (376 nucleotides) under uncultured bacterium. Its description in RNAcentral is "bacterial SSU rRNA". It matches the Rfam family "Bacterial small subunit ribosomal RNA", at positions 524 to 898 of the family's 1533-position model. The record is from RNAcentral.